This 132-nucleotide small RNA is filed under the name Escherichia coli. RNAcentral describes it as "RtT sRNA". It matches the Rfam family "RtT RNA". From Rfam's summary of the family: This family represents a bacterial cis-regulatory element known as RtT RNA. Lineage: Bacteria; Pseudomonadati; Pseudomonadota; Gammaproteobacteria; Enterobacterales; Enterobacteriaceae. The record is from RNAcentral.
AUUCUGCCCAUGCGGGGAAGGACGAGAAGCUUCGACCAAGGUUCGACUUGAGCGCCAGCGAGAGAGCGUUGCCGCAGGCAACGACCCGAAGGGCGAAGCGCGCAGCGCUGAGUAAUCCUUCCCCCACCACCA